GACGAACGCUGGCGGCGUGCUUAACACAUGCAAGUCGAGCGGAAAGGCCCUGCUUUUGUGGGGUGCUCGAUUGCCGAACGGGUGAGUGACACGUGAGUAACCUGCCCUUGACUUUGGGAUAACUUCAGGAGACUGGGGCUAUUACCGGGUAGGAUCUUCUGCUGCAUGUGGGUGGUUGGAAAGUGUCGGCGGUAGGGGAUGUUCUGGCAGCUUAUCAGCUUGUUUGUGGGGUAGUUGCUUACCAAGGCUUUGACGGGUAGCCGGCAUGAGAGGGUGACCGGCCACAUUGGGACUGAGAGACGGAGCAGAAUCGUACGGGAGGCAGUAGUCGGAAAUAUUGCACAAUGGGCGGACGUCUGAGACAGCAGCGCCGCGUGCGUGAUGAUGGCCUACGGGUUGAAAACCGAUUUGGCAGGUGAUGAAGCGUGAGUGACGGUAAUGAGUAAAGAAGCAACGGCUAACUACGUG
Molecule: ribosomal RNA, 468 nt
Filed under: uncultured bacterium
Lineage: Bacteria
Description: partial 16S ribosomal RNA
Rfam family: Bacterial small subunit ribosomal RNA
Source: RNAcentral